Molecule: ribosomal RNA, 407 nt
Filed under: uncultured bacterium
Lineage: Bacteria
Description: partial 16S ribosomal RNA
Rfam family: Bacterial small subunit ribosomal RNA
Source: RNAcentral
AUUGAACGCUGGCGGCAGGCCUAACACAUGCAAGUCGAGCGGAGCGGCAGACGGGUGAGGGAUGCCUAGGAAUCUGCAUGGUAGUGGGGGAUAACGGCCGACAACGGGCGCUAAUACCGCAUACUAUAAGAUGAGACUAGGUCGGAGUAGCUAGUAGGUGGGGUAAAGGCCUACCAAGGCGACGAUCCGUAACUGGUCUGAGAGGAUGAUCAGUCACUCUGGAACUGAGACACGGUCCAGACUCCUACGGGAGGCAGCAGUGGGGAAUAUUGGACAAUGGGCGAAAGCCUGAUCCAGCCAUGCCGCGUGUGUGAAGAAGGUCUUCGGAUUGUAAAGCACUUUAAGUUGGGAGGCGUUACCAACAGAAUAAGCACCGGCUAACUUCGUGCCAGCAGCCGCGGUAAUUC